UGUUAAGUUCAAGUCUAUCUCGGGCUCUAGAAGCAGCGUGUAGUAAAACGGACACCUAGGGUUUCGAUGAUCCACAUAUGGAUGAAAAGAUAAUUUUAUAAGCUAACUAAUGGAUUUGGUUUGAGGCCCAAAUUCUAUUGGAGUCAACAGGAAUCAUUGAAACAUUUUGAUGUCUAGAAUCUAUCAAGGCGCUGCGUCGUUGUCUUUUUUGGCCGUUGGGCCUUGUAACGUGUUGGGACACCUUAUGGACAUAAAGUGGGGACUAUGGACGCCCCUUAGGUUAUAUAAUCAGUAGCCGCCGCCUACUUUAGGGUUUGGGUUUUUCUUAGAUUAUUAUGUUUACAACAGUUUUGCCGUCAUCGGUUUGUGAGGCCCCAACUCUGUGAGAUUAUUCAUUCAUCUACAGAUUCGGUUGCAUUCUUUCUUAUUUUUGCUUGUAUUCUUCAAUUCAUAGGCAAGGAUUUGCCUUCUUGGCAAGGUCAACCGUGCAGCGCAGGUCGAUAACCUGAGGAGACGUGGUGCUAAGGUUGUAGGGUUCAGGUCUCUGUGAUCUGAAGCCAGAUCGAUGUGUCACUCUCCGAAUAAAUCAUUGUUUAUCUUGAACCUGAUGAAAGAUCAGGAACCCUCUCCUCAUUAUUUGGUAUUCAGAGCCUCAGGUAUACCGUCAAGUUCAUAUUUACUCUAGUUUAGUUGAUUUUCUUUGUCUCAUAGUCUACCGCCAUAUUUAUUUCCUAUCCAACAACCAUCUGCGUCAUCACCUUGCAUAUUUUAGUUUUCAGAGUUCACCGUAUUGAGUUUGUGUCCUAGGUCAAGGUCUUGUUGAUAGUUUAGAUUUUGUUCUUUUCUAGUUUGGGUUAUUCUCUCCGUCAUCCCGUAUCACCAUCUGUUUGCAUCUUGUCUCCACUAAAACCCUAAUUUGAGCAGUUUUCUUAAAACUAUCAUAACUUUUAUAUCCGAACUCGAAACGGGGGGAAAUUUUAUACCUACGGAGAACGCUAGAAAAUUUUAGAUCCAUUCUAUCUUAGCAUGCUUGGGUUCACAAAAAUUAGAUUUAUGAAAUUUGAUCAAGAAAAUCAAGUUUCUGGGCCCACAAGUUUUGGCAUGCUUUCUAGAGUACAACCCUGAUUUUCUAUAGGCCACAUCUUUUAUCUAAUUGAGCUAAAUUUUUUUGUGGUUUGUCCUAGUAUACUUCUUGCUAAGAAAAAAAUAAAAGGGCAAAAGAAAAAAUGGACAAAAAAAGAAAAAAUAGUAAAAAAUAGAAGAGAUCGGAAAAGGAGCACACAGGGAACACUCAAUAGCUCUAUUAUUUGUGGUGCCUUUUGCCUUGUCCAUAUUUCUAUUGCUACCUUUCAUAUUUAUUUCACUCCUUUGUUUAUCAUAACUGGUGCUAGGAACACGUAUAGGCCAGCAACUAGGACAAGUGCUCUGAACAUUUAUUCAACAUUGCUAUAUGUUACUAACUUAUGUGCCAUAUAUACAUAUUUAUUCUUUUGUGUGCCUCCUAAGCUCCACAUAUACUUCAGAUCGGCACAGAAAAGGACCCUUGCAAUCUUGGGCUAUGCCUUUUAGGUAUCCUUUGCCUUGAUAGUAUGAACCUUGUAAGCACUUGAUAAGGUGUUUUCUUUGCUGUGAUCUUAAGAGGCACUACUCCACCUGCGUAGUUGAAUUAUUUAGGAUAAUCUUCACUGUUUGUUGUUGUGGUUUGUGUCUAUAAUGGUAGGUUAUAACACUCAUCAAUAUGAGACAUCUAUGAUGCAUGAGACACGCACUAUUGUUGCUACACCUUCUCUCACAGGUCAUUCUAUUCUUUCUUCUCUGCCUACUUAUGAUGAUAUUGGUGUUGAUGAUUACAUUGAGUGGGAAAGUAAAAUAGAUAAUAUUUUUGCACAACGUCAUAUGUGUGAACGGAGAAAGAUUAAAAAUGCAUCUAGUGUUUUGCAACAUUUAGCAUCAACUUGGUGGGAGUCUUUAAGUUCUUCAGAUAAACCUCAU
Molecule: long non-coding RNA, 1992 nt
Filed under: Sorghum bicolor (sorghum)
Lineage: Eukaryota; Viridiplantae; Streptophyta; Magnoliopsida; Poales; Poaceae
Description: long non-coding RNA (SBIC_LNC009887)
Source: RNAcentral